GGGAGUAUAGCUAAAGUGACAGAGCAUCUGUCUAGCAAGUACAGAGUUCCUGAGUUCAAACCUCAGUACUGCUG
RNAcentral lists this transfer RNA (74 nucleotides) under Dipodomys ordii (Ord's kangaroo rat). It matches the Rfam family "tRNA". Rfam says of the family: Transfer RNA (tRNA) molecules are approximately 80 nucleotides in length. Their secondary structure includes four short double-helical elements and three loops (D, anti-codon, and T loops). The record is from Rfam by way of RNAcentral. Lineage: Eukaryota; Metazoa; Chordata; Mammalia; Rodentia; Heteromyidae.